GAUGAACGCUGGCGGCGUGCCUGACACAUGCAAGUCGAACGAACCGAGGGGCUGUUGAUCGGGUUUCGGAAGGGUUCGUCCCGGAAGAGCCCGUGAGGUUCCUUGGUUAGUGGCGAACGGGUGAGUAACACGUAGGUGACCUGCCCCGAAGAGGGGGAUAACCACUGGAAACGGUGGCUAAUACCCCAUGUGGUCCCGCAUUCGUUUGCGGGAUUAAAGGCUCCGGCGCUUCGGGAGGGGCCUGCGGCCUAUCAGCUAGUUGGUAGGGUAAUGGCCUACCAAGGCUAUGACGGGUAGCUGGUCUGAGAGGACGGACAGCCACACUGGCACUGAGACACGGGCCAGACUCCUACGGGAGGCAGCAGUGAGGAAUAUUGCGCAAUGGGGGAAACCCUGACGCAGCAACGCCGCGUGGGCGAAGAAGGUCUUCGGAUCGUAAAGCCCUUUUCUCUCGGACGAGGAAGGACGGUACGGGAGGAAUAAGCGUCGGCUAACUACGUGCCAGCAGCCGCGGUAAAACGUAGGACGCAAGCGUUAUCCGGAUUUAUUGGGCGUAAAGGGCGUCUAGGCGGCGUCUUAAGUUGGGCGUGAAAUCUUCCGGCUCAACCGGAAGGGUGCGUCCAAUACCGGGACGCUUGAGGACAGCAGAGGGAGGUGGAAUUCCCGGAGUAGCGGUGGAAUGCGUAGAUAUCGGGAGGAACACCAGUGGCGAAGGCGGCCUCCUGGGCUGUACCUGACGCUGAAGCGCGAAAGCGUGGGGAGCAAACGGGAUUAGAUACCCCGGUAGUCCACGCCGUAAACGAUGGAUACUAGGUGUCGGUGGUAUUGAUCCCAUCGGUGCCGCAGCUAACGCAUUAAGUAUCCCGCCUGGGGACUACGGCCGCAAGGCUA
Molecule: ribosomal RNA, 891 nt
Filed under: uncultured Chloroflexota bacterium
Lineage: Bacteria; Bacillati; Chloroflexota
Description: bacterial SSU rRNA
Rfam family: Bacterial small subunit ribosomal RNA
Source: RNAcentral